GAUGAAGAACGUAGCGAAAUGCGAUAAGUAAUGUGAAUUGCAGAAUUCAGUGAAUCAUCGAAUCUUUGAACGCACAUUGCGCCCGCCAGUAUUCUGGCGGGCAUACCUGUUCGAGCGUCAUUUCAACCAUCAAGCCCCCGGCUUGUGUUGGGGACCUGCGGCUGCCGCAGGCCCUGAAAAGCAGUGGCGGGCUCGCUGUCACACCGAGCGUAGUAGAUUUCAUCUCGCUCAGGGCGUGCUGCGGGUUCCGGCCGUUAAACCACCUUCAUAACCCAAGGUUGACCUCGGAUCAGGUAGGAAGACCCGCUGAACUUAAGCAUAUCAAUAAGCGGAGGA
RNAcentral lists this unclassified non-coding RNA (336 nucleotides) under soil metagenome. RNAcentral's name for it is "partial contains 5.8S ribosomal RNA, internal transcribed spacer 2, and large subunit ribosomal RNA". The stretch from base 1 to 120 matches the Rfam family "5.8S ribosomal RNA", at positions 35 to 154 of the family's 154-position model. The record is from RNAcentral.